AGUAGAAUGGCUGAGGUAAUAUAGGUUAUAGAUUGUAAAUCUAUUUAGGGGAUAGUUUCCCUUCUACUA
RNAcentral lists this transfer RNA (69 nucleotides) under Cryptocercus zagunaoensis. Its description in RNAcentral is "tRNA-Tyr". The record is from RNAcentral. Lineage: Eukaryota; Metazoa; Arthropoda; Insecta; Blattodea; Cryptocercidae.